RNAcentral lists this long non-coding RNA (934 nucleotides) under Anas platyrhynchos platyrhynchos (common mallard). Its description in RNAcentral is "lncRNA (ENSAPLG00000021655.1)". Lineage: Eukaryota; Metazoa; Chordata; Aves; Anseriformes; Anatidae. The record is from RNAcentral.
CACCUACUAAAAGGAGGCGGUCAGAGAUUUCUAGAAGUAGAAGAAGAGCAUUUAAAAGGGACUGAGAUAGCUGACAGAAUGGUACCCCAGGAGCCUUCCAGAAGUGUGCAAUCAGGAGCAGAAUACCCACAAGCUUCCUGUCCACUUCUUCGUUCUCCAAGAACUAGACAAUGUAUUGCCCUGGGAACUUCUUGAUCCUCUUAUCUGUCUGCCUUAUCGCUACGUCCCUUGGUAAUCACCAAAGUAACAGCCACCAAUGCCUUGAAAGUGUGCAGUGGAGUGAGCUCUUAAAGGAGAUUGAGAAACUGAACAAAAGAGGCUUUUCUUUGGAAUGUGAGGAAGUGAACAGUGAAGAUUUGUGUUUCCCUGAGAAGAUGCUAAAAGCAGUUAAAUAUGAUAGUGCCACCAUUGUUCAUAUAGUGCACGAAAUUGCUGAGUUUUUCAAGAGAGCAGACACACCUUUUCAAAAUAAGAACAAUUUUCUAAGAGGAAUGUAUGAAGCUCAUGCUCAGCUCAAGACUUGUCUGAAGUCUGGAUUUAACUUUAUCCAUGAAUCCAUAGUGAAGGACUGCUUCAAAAAAAUGGAUAAGUUGGUGGCCAAGGUAAGCAGGCUGUUUCUCAACAUAUUUUAUUUUCCAUGAUAAUGGAUGUUACCUUUUACAAAACAAGUAAUAAGCUUUUUAAUAAUAUUUUCUUCACAGAAAAAUAAUCACUGUACUUGGCAAGAGAUCCAUGCACAAUCCAGAGAGUUACUUCAAAGAAUUGAAAAUUACUCCUUCAAGAGAAGAUCAAUACAAUAAGAAUGUCAGUUUCAAUCAAAUACUUUGAGGAUCACAUCAAGAUAAAUUAUCCAAUUUUUCUAAAGAUGAAAGGAAGUAGCAUAUACAUAGUUCCUAUUUAAGGUUUUAAAUCACUUAAUUUAUUUUUGUCAAGA